GUAGGUGGCAAGCGUUGUCCGGAAUUAUUGGGCGUAAAGCGCGCGCAGGCGGUCCUUUAAGUCUGAUGUGAAAGCCCACGGCUCAACCGUGGAGGGUCAUUGGAAACUGGGGGACUUGAGUACAGAAGAGGAAAGCGGAAUUCCAAGUGUAGCGGUGAAAUGCGUAGAGAUUUGGAGGAACACCAGUGGCGAAGGCGGCUUUCUGGUCUGUAACUGACGCUGAGGCGCGAAAGCGUGGGGAGCAAACAGGGAUUAGAUACCCUGGUAGUCCACGCCGUAAACGAUGAGUGCUAAGUGUUAGGGGGUUUCCCGCCCCUUAGUGCUGCAGCUAACGCAUUAAGCACUCCGCCUGGGGAGUUCGGCCGCAAGGCUG
This 373-nucleotide ribosomal RNA is filed under the name uncultured organism. RNAcentral describes it as "partial 16S ribosomal RNA". It matches the Rfam family "Bacterial small subunit ribosomal RNA", at positions 527 to 896 of the family's 1533-position model. The record is from RNAcentral.